Molecule: ribosomal RNA, 436 nt
Filed under: uncultured bacterium
Lineage: Bacteria
Description: bacterial SSU rRNA
Rfam family: Bacterial small subunit ribosomal RNA
Source: RNAcentral
GCCUAACACAUGCAAGUCGCACGGAGGGUUUCGGCCUACAAUGGCGGACGGGUGAGUAUCGCGUAGGGAUUUGUCGUUGGGUGGGGGAUAACCUUGGGAAACUGGGGCUAAUACCGCAUGACGCCUGUGGGCCAAAGCCGAAAGGUGCCUGACGAGGAGCCUGCGUCCGAUUAGGUAGUUGGUUGGGUAAUGGCUGACCAAGCCUGCGAUCGGUAGCUGGUCUGAGAGGAUGAUCAGCCACACUGGGACUGAGACACGGCCCAGACUCCUACGGGAGGCAGCAGUGGGGAAUAUUGGACAAUGGGCGCAAGCCUGAUCCAGCAAUGCCGCGUGGAUGAAGAAGGUUUUCGGAUUGUAAAGUCCUUUCGGCGGGGACGAUGAUGACGGUACCCGCAGAAGAAGCCCCGGCUAACUUCGUGCCAGCAGCCGCGGUAAU